RNA transcript from Paralichthys olivaceus (Japanese flounder), 620 nucleotides. RefSeq lists it as uncharacterized. NCBI's taxonomy places the organism in Eukaryota, Metazoa, Chordata, Actinopteri, Pleuronectiformes, Paralichthyidae. The record is from RefSeq and is a predicted model, not a curated record.
UUACAUUCUCUCAGCUCCUGCUUUUAGACCAGCUCGUCUUCCGGGUCAGUGUCGGUCUGUUCCGGGUCUGUUCCCGGUCUGUUCCCCGUCAGUGUCGGCGGCUCGGUCCUGCGCUUCGUCCAUGGUCGGUGCCGGUGAAUCUGUGAAGGUUGGAGCCGCUCAGUCAUGGGCCUGAAACAGUUCUGGCAGAACUACAAAGUUUUGAUCGUGAUGGGCCCGAGCCUGGGUCUCAUCCACUGGGGCUGGUUCAACCUGAAGUCGAGUUCAGCGCUGCGUUCGGCCAGAGACGAGUUCAUUCCCGAGCCCGGCAUCGUGACCUACGUUUUAAACUCAUCAGCUCCCCCUGCUGCCAAGACCAAGUAAAACAGACUAAGGAUGAAGCCUCGGAGCUGGAUCAGGAGGAACUGGCUGUGGGCGGCCGGAGGUGCCUUCCUCGCUGUCCACUUGGCCACCUGGCUCAUGCAGCGAGCCAUGAGGAGCGCGGUUCGCUCCGAGGCGGCGCUUAGACACAAAGCUGUCGAGGAGAAACUGGACUGAUGGCCAAUCAGGAGGACUAUUGAUUGAUCGAUUAUGGGUCAUAGAUAAAUAAAAUACUUUUUGUUUCCUCUGAGAUUCAAUGA